GUCCAUGCCCUAAACGAUGGGCACUAGGUGUGAGGACGCUUUAAUGUCUUCGUGCCGAAGUCAACGCAUUAAGUGCCCCACCUGGGAAGUACGGCCGCAAGGUUGAAACUCAAAAUGAAUUGACGGGGGCCCGCACAAGCGGUGGAGCAUGUGGUUUAAUUCGACGCAACGCGAAGAACCUUACCCAGGCUUGACAUCCGGGGAAUCCCGUAGAAAUACGGGAGUGCCCGCAAGGGAGCCCCGAGACAGGUGCUGCAUGGCUGUCGU
Molecule: ribosomal RNA, 267 nt
Filed under: uncultured bacterium
Lineage: Bacteria
Description: partial 16S ribosomal RNA
Rfam family: Bacterial small subunit ribosomal RNA
Source: RNAcentral